This 989-nucleotide ribosomal RNA is filed under the name uncultured archaeon. Its description in RNAcentral is "bacterial SSU rRNA". It matches the Rfam family "Archaeal small subunit ribosomal RNA", at positions 1 to 999 of the family's 1478-position model. The record is from RNAcentral.
UUCCGGUUGAUCCCGCCGGAGGUCACUGCUAUCGGGGUUCGAUUAAGCCAUGCGAGUCGAGAGGGUUCGGCCCUCGGCGUACUGCUCAGUAACACGUGGAUAACCUGCCCUAGGGAAGGGGAUAACCCCGGGAAACUGGGGAUAAUACCCUAUAGAUUACAGAUGCUGGAAUGCCCUGUAAUCCAAAGUUCCGACGCCCUAGGAUGGAUCUGCGGCCGAUUAGGUUGUUGUUGGGGUAAUGGCCCAACAAGCCCGUAAUCGGUACGGGUUGUGGGAGCAAGAGCCCGGAGUUGGAUUCUGAGACACGAAUCCAGGCCCUACGGGGCGCAGCAGGCGCGAAAACUUUACAAUGCGGGCAACCGUGAUAAGGGAACCUCGAGUGCCUGUAAAUGCAGGCUGUUCAGGUGCCUAAAACACACCUGAAGAAAGGGCCGGGCAAGACCGGUGCCAGCCGCCGCGGUAAUACCGGCGGCUCGAGUGGUGGCCGCUUUUAUUGGGCUUAAAGCGUUCGUAGCUGGGUUGUUAAGUCUCUUGGGAAAUCUGGCGGCUUAACCGUCAGGCGUCUAAGGGAUACUGGCAAUCUUGGAACCGGGAGAGGUGAGGGGUACUUCGGGGGUAGGAGUGAAAUCUUGUAAUCCCUGUGAGACCAUCUGUGGCGAAGGCGUCUUACCAGAACGGGUUCGACGGUGAGGGACGAAAGCUGGGGGCACGAACCGGAUUAGAUACCCGGGUAGUCCCAGCCGUAAACUAUGCGCGUUAGGUGUAUCGGUGACCACGAGUUACCGAGGUGCCGAAGGGAAACCGUGAAACGUGCCGCCUGGGAAGUACGGUCGCAAGGCUGAAACUUAAAGGAAUUGGCGGGGGAGCACCACAACAGGUGGAGCCUGCGGUUUAAUUGGACUCAACGCCGGGAAGCUCACCGGAUAAGACAGCAGAAUGAUUGCCGGGCUGAAGACCUUGCCUGAAUCGCUGAGAGGAGGUGCAUGGCC